Molecule: ribosomal RNA, 495 nt
Filed under: uncultured bacterium
Lineage: Bacteria
Description: bacterial SSU rRNA
Rfam family: Bacterial small subunit ribosomal RNA
Source: RNAcentral
AAAUGAAUUGACGGGGACCCGCACAAGCAGCGGAGCAUGUGGUUUAAUUCGAUGCAACGCGAAGAACCUUACCAGGGCUUGACAUCCCUCGGACCGAAUUAGAGAUAAUUCUUUCCCUUCGGGGACUGAGGGACAGGUGGUGCAUGGUUGUCGUCAGCUCGUGUCGUGAGAUGUUGGGUUAAGUCCCGCAACGAGCGCAACCCCUGCUUCUAGUUGCUACCAGUAAGGCUGAGCACUCUAGAGGGACUGCCGAUGAUAAAUCGGAGGAAGGUGGGGACGACGUCAAAUCAUCAUGCCCUUUAUGUCCUGGGCUACACACGUGCUACAAUGGUCGGUACAAUGGGUUGCCAACGAGCGAUCGUGAGCUAAUCUCAUAAAGCCGAUCCCAGUUCGGAUUGCAGGCUGCAACUCGCCUGCAUGAAGUCGGAGUUGCUAGUAAUCGUGGAUCAGAAUGCCACGGUGAAUGCGUUCCCGGGUCUUGCACACACCGCCCGU